UACAGAGGUCCCGAGCGUUGUUCGGAUUCACUGGGCGUAAAGGGCGCGUAGGCGGCACUGUUAGUCAGGCGUGAAAGUCCUGGGCUCAACCUGGGAACUGCGCUUGAUACGGCAGAGCUAGAGGAUGGAAGAGGCUCGCGGAAUUCCCAGUGUAGAGGUGAAAUUCGUAGAUAUUGGGAAGAACACCGGUGGCGAAGGCGGCGAGCUGGUCCAUUACUGACGCUGAGGCGCGACAGCGUGGGGAGCAAACAGG
RNAcentral lists this ribosomal RNA (253 nucleotides) under uncultured bacterium. RNAcentral describes it as "partial 16S ribosomal RNA". It matches the Rfam family "Bacterial small subunit ribosomal RNA", at positions 524 to 776 of the family's 1533-position model. The record is from RNAcentral.